RNAcentral lists this ribosomal RNA (159 nucleotides) under Auxenochlorella pyrenoidosa. RNAcentral describes it as "5.8S ribosomal RNA". It matches the Rfam family "5.8S ribosomal RNA". Rfam says of the family: 5.8S ribosomal RNA (5.8S rRNA) is a component of the large subunit of the eukaryotic ribosome. It is transcribed by RNA polymerase I as part of the 45S precursor that also contains 18S and 28S rRNA. The record is from RNAcentral. Lineage: Eukaryota; Viridiplantae; Chlorophyta; Trebouxiophyceae; Chlorellales; Chlorellaceae. RNAcentral also lists the same sequence under 2 other names.
CAACUCUCAACAACGGAUAUCUUGGCUCCCGUAUCGAUGAAGAACGCAGCGAAAUGCGAUACGUAGUGUGAAUUGCAGAAUUCCGUGAACCAUCGAAUCUUUGAACGCAAAUUGCGCCCGCGGCUUCGGCCAAAGGCAUGUCUGCCUCAGCGUCGGCUC